RNAcentral lists this ribosomal RNA (506 nucleotides) under uncultured bacterium. RNAcentral describes it as "partial 16S ribosomal RNA". It matches the Rfam family "Bacterial small subunit ribosomal RNA", at positions 29 to 523 of the family's 1533-position model. The record is from RNAcentral.
AGUGAACGCUGGCGGUAGGCCUAACACAUGCAAGUCGAACGGCAGCACAGGAGAGCUUGCUCUCUGGGUGGCGAGUGGCGGACGGGUGAGGAAUACAUCGGAAUCUACUUUUUCGUGGGGGAUAACGUAGGGAAACUUACGCUAAUACCGCAUACGACCUACGGGUGAAAGCAGGGGAUCUUCGGACCUUGCGCGAUUGAAUGAGCCGAUGUCGGAUUAGCUAGUUGGCGGGGUAAAGGCCCACCAAGGCGACGAUCCGUAGCUGGUCUGGGAGGAUGAGCAGCCACACUGGAACUGAGACACGGUCCAGACGCCUACGGGAGGCAGCAGUGGGGAAUAUUGGACAAUGGGCGCAAGCCUGAUCCAGCCAUACCGCGUGGGUGAAGAAGGCCUUCGGGUUGUAAAGCCCUUUUGUUGGGAAAGAAAUCCAGCUGGUUAAUACCCGGUUGGGAUGACGGUACCCAAAGAAUAAGCACCGGCUAACUUCGUGCCAGCCGCCGCCGUAA